This 413-nucleotide transfer-messenger RNA is filed under the name Candidatus Omnitrophota bacterium. It matches the Rfam family "transfer-messenger RNA". From Rfam's summary of the family: Bacterial tmRNA, also known as 10Sa RNA or SsrA, is named for its dual tRNA and mRNA-like properties. Its role is to liberate the mRNA from a stalled ribosome. Lineage: Bacteria; Pseudomonadati; Candidatus Omnitrophota. The record is from RNAcentral.
AAAGGGCUCGACUUAGGUAAGUCGGGUAAGAGUAGCAUGCCGCGGACGCAGGGUGGGCCGCGUUAACAAUCCUUGCACAAUAUAAACGCAAAAACGAACAUCAGUUCGAUGGCAGCAGAAAGAUAUAGUGCCGUUCUUCCUUUAGGUUUAGGAGUGGCACCUAUAUUUACUGCUCCAGCGUUUGCAGCCCUUCCUUAAUUAAAUAAGGAAGGCCUCAACCCGGGAUGCCCACGAUCCGGGAUUGAGCGCAAGUGGGCUAACCAUGCGCUUUUUGCCUUUGGGUGCCUGGUGAAAGUUUAAAAGGCUGCUGCUUGCCUGAUCCUGUCUAUCGGAGCGGGCAAGAGCAAGCGUAAAAGACAGACUAAGCAUGUAGCGACUUUUAUCUGAUUGCUUAGGGACGGCGGUUCGAUUCA